RNAcentral lists this transfer RNA (80 nucleotides) under Rubripirellula obstinata. RNAcentral describes it as "tRNA-Ser". The record is from RNAcentral. Lineage: Bacteria; Pseudomonadati; Planctomycetota; Planctomycetia; Pirellulales; Pirellulaceae.
UGAGCAUCGGCCCGCGGGUUCAGGGUUGCGGGUUCAGGGCCCGCGGGUUCGGUUGCACGUUCGGAGCGCACGACGCGCGG